CGACAGGCUUAACACAUGCAAGUCGAGGGGCAGCGGGGGUAGCAAUACCCGCCGGCGACCGGCGCACGGGUGAGUAACGCGUAUGCAACUUACCUAUCAGAGGGGGAUAACCCGGCGAAAGUCGGACUAAUACCGCAUGAAGCAGGGAUCCCGCAUGGGAAUAUUUGCUAAAGAUUCAUCGCUGAUAGAUAGGCAUGCGUUCCAUUAGGCAGUUGGCGGGGUAACGGCCCACCAAACCGACGAUGGAUAGGGGUUCUGAGAGGAAGGUCCCCCACAUUGGUACUGAGACACGGACCAAACUCCUACGGGAGGCAGCAGUGAGGAAUAUUGGUCAAUGGCCGAGAGGCUGAACCAGCCUAUUCUCGUGAGGGAUGAAGGUUCUAUGGAUCGUAAACCUCUUUUAUAAGGGACCAACGUGCGGGACGUGUCCCGUUUUGUAUGUACCUUAUGAAUAAGGAUCGGCUAACUCCGUGCCAGCAGCCGCGGUAAUACGGAGGAUCCGAGCGUUAUCCGGAUUUAUUGGGUUUAAAGGGUGCGUAGGCGGCCUUUUAAGUCAGCGGGGAAAGUCGGUGGUUCAACCAUAGAAUUGCGGUUGAAACUGGGGGGCUUGAGUAAGUUGGAGGCAGGCGGAAUUGCGUGGUGUAGCGGUGAAAUGCAUAGAUAUCACGCAGAACCGCGAUUGCGAAGGCAGCCUGCCAAGCCAUUACUGACGCUGAUGCACGAAAGCGUGGGGAUCAAACAGGAUUAGAUACCCUGGUAGUCCACGCAGUAAACGAUGAUCACUAGCUGUUUGCGAUACACUGUAAGCGGCACAGCGAAAGCGUUAAGUGAUCCACGUGGGGAGUACGCCGGCAACGGUGAAACUCAAAGGAAUUGACGGGGGCCCGCACAAGCGGAGGAACAUGUGGUUUAAUUCGAUGAUACGCGAGGAACCUUACCCGGGUUUGAACGCAUUCGGACCGAGGUGGAAACACCUUUUCUAGCAAUAGCCGUUUGCGAGGUGCUGCAUGGUUGUCGUCAGCUCGUGCCGUGAGGUGUCGGCUUAAGUGCCAUAACGAGCGCAACCCUUGCCACUAGUUACUAACAGGUAAAGCUGAGGACUCUGGUGGGACUGCCAGCGUAAGCUGCGAGGAAGGCGGGGAUGACGUCAAAUCAGCACGGCCCUUACAUCCGGGGCGACACACGUGUUACAAUGGCGUGGACAAAGGGAAGCCACCUGGCGACAGGGAGCGAAUCCCCAAACCACGUCUCAGUUCGGAUCGGAGUCUGCAACCCGACUCCGUGAAGCUGGAUUCGCUAGUAAUCGCGCAUCAGCCAUGGCGCGGUGGAUACGUUCCCGGGCCUUGUACACACCGCCCGUCAAGCCAUGGGAGCCGGGGGUACCUGAAGUCCGUAACCGCGAGGAUCGGCCUAGGGUAAAACUGGUGACUGGGGC
This 1435-nucleotide ribosomal RNA is filed under the name uncultured organism. RNAcentral describes it as "SSU rRNA". It matches the Rfam family "Bacterial small subunit ribosomal RNA". The record is from RNAcentral.